This 722-nucleotide ribosomal RNA is filed under the name uncultured bacterium. RNAcentral's name for it is "bacterial SSU rRNA". It matches the Rfam family "Bacterial small subunit ribosomal RNA", at positions 111 to 823 of the family's 1533-position model. The record is from RNAcentral.
UAACGCGUAGGUAACCUGCCUUGUAGCGGGGGAUAACUAUUGGAAACGAUAGCUAAUACCGCAUAACAAUGGAUGACACAUGUCAUUUAUUUGAAAGGGGCAAUUGCUCCACUACAAGAUGGACCUGCGUUGUAUUAGCUAGUAGGUGAGGUAACGGCUCACCUAGGCGACGAUACAUAGCCGACCUGAGAGGGUGAUCGGCCACACUGGGACUGAGACACGGCCCAGACUCCUACGGGAGGCAGCAGUAGGGAAUCUUCGGNNAUGGGGGCAACCCUGACCGAGCAACGCCGCGUGAGUGAAGAAGGUUUUCGGAUCGUAAAGCUCUGUUGUAAGUCAAGAACGAGUGUGAGAGUGGAAAGUUCACACUGUGACGGUAGCUUACCAGAAAGGGACGGCUAACUACGUGCCAGCAGCCGCGGUAAUACGUAGGUCCCGAGCGUUGUCCGGAUUUAUUGGGCGUAAAGCGAGCGCAGGCGGUUUGAUAAGUCUGAAGUUAAAGGCUGUGGCUCAACCAUAGUUCGCUUUGGAAACUGUCAAACUUGAGUGCAGAAGGGGAGAGUGGAAUUCCAUGUGUAGCGNUGAAAUGCGUAGAUAUAUGGAGGAACACCGGUGGNAAAAGCGNCUCUCUGNUCUGUAACUGACGCUGAGGCUCGAAAGCGUGGUAGCGAACAGGAUUAGAUACCCUGUAGNCCACGCCGUAAACGAUGANGGCUAGGUGU